UGGGGAAUCUUGGACAAUGGGGGCAACCCUGAUCCAGCGAUGCCGCGUGAGCGAAGAAGGCCUUAGGGUUGUAAAGCUCUUUCGCCCGCGACGAUAAUGACGGUAGCGGGAGAAGAAGCCCCGGCUAACUCCGUGCCAGCAGCCGCGGUAAUACGGAGGGGGCUAGCGUUGUCCGGAAUUACUGGGCGUAAAGCGCGCGUAGGUGGUCUGCCAAGUCGGGGGUGAAAGCCCAGGGCUCAACCCUGGAAUGGCCUCCGAGACUGAUGGACUCGAGUUCGGGAGAGGAGAGCGGAAUUCCCAGUGUAGAGGUGAAAUUCGUAGAUAUUGGGAAGAACACCGGUGGCGAAGGCGGCUCUCUGGCCCGCAACUGACACUGAGGCGCGAAAGCGUGGGGAGCAAACAGG
This 404-nucleotide ribosomal RNA is filed under the name uncultured bacterium. Its description in RNAcentral is "bacterial SSU rRNA". It matches the Rfam family "Bacterial small subunit ribosomal RNA", at positions 355 to 776 of the family's 1533-position model. The record is from RNAcentral.